Long non-coding RNA from Herpailurus yagouaroundi (jaguarundi), 917 nucleotides. RefSeq lists it as uncharacterized. The record is from RefSeq and is a predicted model, not a curated record. The transcript is spliced from 2 exons. NCBI's taxonomy places the organism in Eukaryota, Metazoa, Chordata, Mammalia, Carnivora, Felidae.
AUAUACAGAGAGAGGGGACUGUUAACUGCAGAGGGGAAAACCAUCAAAAACAAAGAAGAAAUAUUGGCUCUUUUAAAGGCACUCUGGCUGCCUAAACGACUAGCCAUCAUACAUUGCCCAGGCCACCAAAAACCGGUCACACCAGUGGCCAGAGGAAAUAAUUUGGCUGACCAGGUGGCCCGAGAGGUGGCCUUACAGGUGGACUGUGCUUUAAUGACCACCCUACCAGACCCCGGUUCAGCUAGUUUACCAGAAAGUCCCACCUACACUAAAGAAGACCUAAACUGGAUCCAAAAAUUGCCUAUGACUCAGUGCCUUAACGGAUGGUGGAGAGCAGCAGACUGUAGCAUAAUCCUCCCAGAAGAAAUGGGAAAUAAAGUCUUAUCCAAGAUGCACCGAGCCACUCAUAUGGGCACAAGAAAAAUGCAAGACUUAGUAAGACAUGCUAGGAUCACCAUUAAAGAAUCUAGGACAAAAACUGAACAGAUAGUUACUAGCUGUAAAGCUUGCCAACUAACUAACGCCACCAACCACGGGAAAAACCCUGGCUCCAGAACCCGCGGAACCAGGCCAGGAGCCUAUUGGGAAAUAGACUUCACCGAGGUAAAGCCUGGAAAAUAUGGAUACAAAUAUUUGUUAGUGUUUAUAGAUACCUUUUCAGGAUGGACAGAGGCCUUCCCCACCAAGCAUGAGACUGCGCAGGUAGUAGCAAAGAAAAUGUUGGAAGACAUCAUGCCCAGGUACGGAUUCCCUACCCUAAUAGGAUCAGACAACGGACCAGCAUUCGUUUCAAAGGGAACUCCAGCACACCCACCAGGAAGUUUGGCCCAGAUUGAGAGCCAUUUAUGACAACGGGCCCCCUCCUGAGCCGCACCACUACCGACCCGGAGACUGGGUACACGUGCGGAGACACAAGC